This 337-nucleotide unclassified non-coding RNA is filed under the name soil metagenome. RNAcentral's name for it is "partial contains 5.8S ribosomal RNA, internal transcribed spacer 2, and large subunit ribosomal RNA". The stretch from base 1 to 120 matches the Rfam family "5.8S ribosomal RNA", at positions 35 to 154 of the family's 154-position model. The record is from RNAcentral.
GAUGAAGAACGUAGCGAAAUGCGAUACGUAGUGUGAAUUGCAGAAUUCAGUGAAUCAUCGAAUCUUUGAACGCACAUUGCGCCCUUUGGUAUUCCAAAGGGCAUGCCUGUUCGAGCGUCAUUUGUACCCUCAAGCUUUGCUUGGUGUUGGGCGUCUUGUCUCCAGUCCGCUGGAGACUCGCCUUAAAGUCAUUGGCAGCCGGCCUACUGGUUUCGGAGCGCAGCACAAGUCGCACUCUUUUCCAGCCAAGGUCAGUGUCCAACAAGCCUUUUUUCAACUUUUGACCUCGGAUCAGGUAGGGAUACCCGCUGAACUUAAGCAUAUCAAAAGCGGAGGA